RNAcentral lists this long non-coding RNA (1959 nucleotides) under Salmo salar (Atlantic salmon). RNAcentral's name for it is "lncRNA (ENSSSAG00000104830.1)". Lineage: Eukaryota; Metazoa; Chordata; Actinopteri; Salmoniformes; Salmonidae. The record is from RNAcentral.
UGCGCGUUCAUGUGAGGCGAGACAUUUUUGAAAACUUGUUUCAAGACACAGGAGAUGUCGGGUUGAAAUAUUAAUGAUGUUUCACGUUAAAAAUGGACCAAAAGAUUGAUGCUAAACAACGUUUGACAUGUUUGAACGAACGUAAAUAGAUUUUUUUUUAACUUUUCGUCGUGACUUUUCCCUCCCAUUUUGAGUAGCCUACCGAACGCGCUAACAACACGGAACAGCAUGGAGUUAUUUGGACAUAAAUUAUGAACUUCAUCGAAAAAAAAAAAACAUUUGUUGUGGACCUGAGAUUCCUGGAAGUGCCUUCUGAUGAAGAUUAUUAAAGCAUAUCGUCAUCCCCUCCUCCUAAGCCCGUAGUAGACGGUCGUCACUAUCUAACACCAUUACCAUGGCAGCCAGCAACACCAAGAGGCUUCAAGCUGGCAGAGCCCACAUCUAUACAGUUUAGACCCAAUGAUUCAUCUGACAAACAAAUAACUUUUCGUGCUGCCGGCCCAGGCAUGGAUCAAAGCUGGCGAGACAUUCAAUGACGUCAUCUUCACAGACGAAUCAACUGUGGCCCUUGAGCAAUUUGCUCAAAAUUGCUACAGAAAAUAACGAAAAAGAUCAAGCAUCCCUCAAACUCUAUAUUAUAUUUUUUUUAUGGUAUCUUGGCUCCAGAUUUCUUUGGGGGAGAAAUCAUCAAGAGAUAUGCUGGACCCUAUGUCAGAGAGGUGUUUCUGGGACCACAUUGUUUCUUUCAAAGUAGGAUUAUAGCAAUAUUUUGUUAUGUUUAGGCCUAUUUACAUGUAUAUUUCUAGUAUUGUACCUAAUGUUGGCUGGUAGGCUAAAUGUCUUUUAUGUAUGCGGAUGACUCAACACUACAUACAUCAGCUACCACAGCGAGUGAAAUCACUACAACACUUAAAGAGUUGCAGUUCGUUUAAGAAUGGGUGGCAAGGAAUAAGUUAGUCCUAAAUAUUUAAACUAAAAGCAUUAUAUUUGGGACAAAUCAUUCACUAAACCUUAAACCUCAACUAAACCUUGUAAUUAAUAAUGUGGAUAUUGAGUAGGUUGAGGUGACUAAACUGCUUGGAGUAACCCUGGAUUGUAAACUGUAAUGGUAAAAAUAUAUUGAUACAACAGUAGCUAAGAUGGGGAGAAGUCUGUCCAUAAUAAAGCACUGCUCUGCCUUUUUAACAACACUAUCAACAAGACAGAAAAUACAACUUAUUGAACAGCGGGGACUGUGAAGAGCCACAGACACACAUACACAUGAUAAGACACGCACUCUACACAUACGUACACAUGGAUUUUGUGUUGUAGAUAUGUGAUAGGAGAAUAGUGGCCUGAGGGAACCUAUUUAAAUGUGUUGUGAAAAGUAUUAUGGAAUGUAAUGUCAGGUAAUAUUUUAAAUUGUAUAUCACUCUUGAUGGUACCACUGCUCUUUAAUGAGCUUUACGUUUCCGUGAGGCCGAUACGUAAAGCUUAUUAAAGAGCAGUGAUACUAGCAAUAGCGGUGUGAGGGUUUUUUCUUUUUUCUCAUUUUAUUCAACUGUUACCAUGCACCUGCAAAAACAGUGCCUUUUGAAUUUUAAAUUGUAUACUGUAUAACUGCCUUAAUGUUGCUGGACCCCAGCAGCUAAUGGGGAUACAUAAUAAUUACAAAGAGUGUGCCCUGUUUAGCUGUCUUAAUGCAAUAACUUACUUAGGCCUAUAUGUCAAUAUAUAGGCUACUGUAUCAGUCGAUCAAUCAUUCAUUUGUUCAUGUCAUCACAGCAUACGAGUCACGCUUUGAAAUGCAAUUAAGCAUUUUAGUUUUAAAAUUAAAUAACAAAGGGAGCCUUGAAUAAUUAGCCAACAUUUUGUAUAAACUGCAACAUGUUGGCAAUUGCAUUCACAAAUGCAUGCGACUCAGGGCCAGCAUUAUGGGCGGGCCUUAGGGGGCCUGGCCUGCCCUACCAUACCUCCCGG